AUUGAACGCUGGCGGCAGGCCUAACACAUGCAAGUCGAGCGAGAGGCGAGCGGGUGAGUAAUGUAUGGGGACUGCCCGAUGGGGGGGGAGAACUCCUGGAAAAGGUGGCUCAUACCGCAUACUCUCGGAUAACACAUAUGGGAUUAGCUAGUAGGUGGGGUAAAGGCUCACCUAGGCGACGAUCCCUAGCUGGCCUGAGAGGAUGGUCAGCGAGACUGGGACUGAGACACGCCCCAGAGUCCUACGGAGGCAGCAGUGGGGAAUAUUGCACAAUGGGCGCAAGCCUGAUGCAGCCAGGCCGCGUGUAGGAAGAAGGCCUUAGGGUUGUAAAGUACUUUCAGCGGGGAGGCGUUACCCGCAGAAGAAGCACCGGCUAACUCCGUGCCAGCCGCCGCGGUAAUAC
This 403-nucleotide ribosomal RNA is filed under the name uncultured bacterium. RNAcentral's name for it is "partial 16S ribosomal RNA". It matches the Rfam family "Bacterial small subunit ribosomal RNA", at positions 29 to 526 of the family's 1533-position model. The record is from RNAcentral.